CCUACGGGAGGCUGCAGUAGGGAAUAUUGCUCAAUGGGGGAAACCCUGAAGCAGCAACGCCGCGUGGAGGAUGAAGGUUUUCGGAUUGUAAACUCCUUUUGUUAGAGAAGAUAAUGACGGUAUCUAACGAAUAAGCCCCGUCUAACUCCGUGCAAGCAGCCGCGGUAAUACGGCGGGAGCAAGCGUUACUCGGAAUCACUGGGCGUAAAGAGCGCGUAGGCGGGCUAGCAAGUCCGAGGUGAAAUCCUAUGGCUUAACCAUAGAACUGCAUUUGAAACCGGUAUUCUAGAGUAUGGGAGAGGUAGGUGGAAUUCUUGGUGUAGGGGUAAAAUCCGUAGAGAUCAAGAGGAAUACUGAUUGCGAAGGCGACCUGCUAGGACAUGACUGACGCUGAUGCGCGAAAGCGUGGGGAGCAAACAGGAUUAGAUACCCCUGUAGUC
RNAcentral lists this ribosomal RNA (440 nucleotides) under uncultured bacterium. RNAcentral describes it as "partial 16S ribosomal RNA". It matches the Rfam family "Bacterial small subunit ribosomal RNA", at positions 338 to 795 of the family's 1533-position model. The record is from RNAcentral.